RNAcentral lists this ribosomal RNA (468 nucleotides) under uncultured bacterium. RNAcentral's name for it is "partial 16S ribosomal RNA". It matches the Rfam family "Bacterial small subunit ribosomal RNA", at positions 28 to 507 of the family's 1533-position model. The record is from RNAcentral.
GACGAACGCUGGCGGCGUGCUUAACACAUGCAAGUCGAACGGACAGGCCCUGCUUUUGUUGGUUUCUCGAUUGCCGAACGGGUGAGUAACACGUGUGUAACCUGCCCUUGUCUUUCGGAUAACUUCUGGGAACUCGGGCUCAUACCCGAUAUGAGCUCCUGCUGCAUGUUGUGGAUUGGAAAGUUACGGCGUUUGUGGCUGUUCUCGCGGCUUAUCCGCUUGUUGGUGUAGUAGUUACGUACCAAGGCUUUGACGGAUAGCCUGCCUGAGAGCGUGACCAGCGUCAAUGGGACUGAGAGACGGCCCAGACGCCUACGGGAGGCAGCAGUGGGGAAUAUGGCGGAACAGGCGGAAGCGUGAUGUAGCAACGCCGCGUGCGGGAUGACGGCUUACGGGUUGUAAACAGAUUUCUACUGUGACGAAGCGAGCGUGACGGUAAUGGGUAAAGAAGCACCGGCUAACUACGUG